AAUAGAUACCCUGGUAGUCCACGCCGUAAACGAUGAGUGCUAAGUGUUAGGGGGUUUCCGCCCCUUAGUGCUGCAGCUAACGCAUUAAGCACUCCGCCUGGGGAGUACGGUCGCAAGACUGAAACUCAAAGGAAUUGACGGGGGCCCGCACAAGCGGUGGAGCAUGUGGUUUAAUUCGAAGCAACGCGAAGAACCUUACCAGGUCUUGACAUCCCGCUGACCGCUAUGGAGACAUAGCUUUCCCUUCGGGGACAGCGGUGACAGGUGGUGCAUGGUUGUCGUCAGCUCGUGUCGUGAGAUGUUGGGUUAAGUCCCGCAACGAGCGCAACCCUUGUCCUUAGUUGCCAUCAUUCAGUUGGGCACUCUAAGGAGACUGCCGUACAAAUACGGAGGAAGGUGGGGAUGACGUCAAAUCAUCAUGCCCCUUAUGACCUGGGCUACACACGUGCUACAAUGGACGGUACAAACGGUUGCGAAGUCGCGAGACGGAGCCAAUCCGAGAAAGCCGUUCUCAGUUCGGAUUGCAGG
Molecule: ribosomal RNA, 528 nt
Filed under: uncultured bacterium
Lineage: Bacteria
Description: bacterial SSU rRNA
Rfam family: Bacterial small subunit ribosomal RNA
Source: RNAcentral